UGCGUAGGCGGUCCUUUAAGUCAGAAGUGAAAGGCAGUGGCUCAACCAUUGUAAGCUUUUGAAACUGGGGGACUUGAGUGUUGGAGAGGAAAGCGGAAUUCCUAGUGUAGCGGUGAAAUGCGUAGAUAUUAGGAGGAACACCAGUGGCGAAGGCGGCUUUCUGGACAAAUACUGACGCUGAGGAACGAAAGCGUGGGGAGCGAACAGGAUUAGAUACCCUGGUAGUCC
Molecule: ribosomal RNA, 228 nt
Filed under: uncultured bacterium
Lineage: Bacteria
Description: partial 16S ribosomal RNA
Rfam family: Bacterial small subunit ribosomal RNA
Source: RNAcentral